AACUGUUUAUUGGGCUUCUUACUAGGCCCAGAAGACUCUUGCAGAAAGGACAAACACUGCCCCUUCUCUCCUGGAGCAGACAUUUCAGAGGAGGGAGAUGGAUGAUAAACAGUUGCUGUUGUUAUUGUUGCUGCUGCAGCAGAGCUGAGAAGAGACAUUGGAAAGCAGUAGGAAGAGGAUCACAAAGAUGACAUAGAGCCUGAGAAGGUUCAUUUUGCCCCAGGAAGAUUACCUAGCUAUUUCCAAAGUGAUGCUGCAUACAAGUCUCGAGGAAGGAAAGAACAUUUGAUUCUUAUGGCCAAGCUGUAAAAGUUUUUUAUACCUAAAUCAAAUUGUAAGAUCAUUCUUCAAUUCCAGUAAGUUUUGUAUGGGAUAUAUUAUUAAAUG
Molecule: long non-coding RNA, 387 nt
Organism: Cynocephalus volans (Philippine flying lemur)
Lineage: Eukaryota; Metazoa; Chordata; Mammalia; Dermoptera; Cynocephalidae
Exons: 3
Source: RefSeq, a predicted model, not a curated record